This 22-nucleotide microRNA is filed under the name Glycine max (soybean). Its description in RNAcentral is "gma-miR10194". The record is from miRBase by way of RNAcentral. Lineage: Eukaryota; Viridiplantae; Streptophyta; Magnoliopsida; Fabales; Fabaceae.
UGUUGAAGGUGUGUAUGACAAG